This 551-nucleotide ribosomal RNA is filed under the name uncultured archaeon. Its description in RNAcentral is "bacterial SSU rRNA". It matches the Rfam family "Archaeal small subunit ribosomal RNA", at positions 325 to 876 of the family's 1478-position model. The record is from RNAcentral.
ACGGGGUGCAGCAGGCGCGAAAACUUUACAAUGCGGGAAACCGUGAUAAGGGAAUCUCGAGUGCCAGCAUAUAAUGUUGGCUGUCCAGAUGCCUAAAAAGCAUCUGUUAGCAAGGGCCGGGCAAGACCGGUGCCAGCCGCCGCGGUAACACCGGCGGCCCGAGUGGUAACCGCUAUUAUUGGGUCUAAAGGGUCUGUAGCCGGCCAGGUAAGUCCCUUGGGAAAUCUGGCAGCUCAACUGUCAGGCUGCUAGGGGAUACUGUUUGGCUUGGGACCGGGAGAGGUGAGAGGUACCUUGGGGGUAGGGGUGAAAUCUUGUGAUCCUCGGGGGACCACCAGUGGCGAAGGCGUCUCACCAGAACGGGUCCGACGGUAAGGGACGAAAGCUAGGGGCACGAACCGGAUUAGAUACCCGGGUAGUCCUAGCCGUAAACGAUGCUCGCUAGGUGUCAGUCACGGUGCGACCGUGAUUGGUGCCGUAGGGAAGCCGUGAAGCGAGCCACCUGGGAAGUAUGGCCGCAAGGCUGAAACUUAAAGGAAUUGGCGGGGGAG